CGGGGUGCACCAGGCGCGAAAACUUUACACUGCGGGAAACCGCGAUAAGGGGACCCCGAGUGCCAGCACCUAGUGCUGGCUGUCCAGCUGUCCAAAUAACAGUUGUUAGCAAGGGCCGGGCAAGACCGGUGCCAGCCGCCGCGGUAACACCGGCGGCCCGAGUGGUAGCCGUUAUUAUUGGGUUUAAAGGGUCCGUAGCCGGCCUAUUAAGUCUCUUGGGAAAUCUGGCGACUUAAUCGUCAGGCGUCCAAGAGAUACUGGUAGGCUUGGGACCGGGAGAGGUGGGAGGUACUCCAGGGGUAGGGGUGAAAUCUCGUAAUCCUUGGGGGACCACCGAUGGCGAAGGCAUCCCACCAGAACGGGUCCGACGGUGAGGGACGAAAGCUGGGGGCACGAACCGGAUUAGAUACCCGGGUAGUCCCAGCUGUAAACGAUGCUCGCUAGGUGUCAGGUGCGGUGCGACCGCAUCUGGUGCCGCAGUGAAAACUUGAAGCGAGUCACCUGGGAAGUACGGUCGCAAGGCUGAAACUUAAAGGAAUUGGCGGGGGAGCACAAGGGCGAAUUCGCG
Molecule: ribosomal RNA, 568 nt
Filed under: uncultured archaeon
Lineage: Archaea
Description: bacterial SSU rRNA
Rfam family: Archaeal small subunit ribosomal RNA
Source: RNAcentral